Molecule: long non-coding RNA, 260 nt
Filed under: Elaeis guineensis (African oil palm)
Lineage: Eukaryota; Viridiplantae; Streptophyta; Magnoliopsida; Arecales; Arecaceae
Description: long non-coding RNA (EGUI_LNC058789)
Source: RNAcentral
UCAUCCAAAAGAUCAACAUUCGGCAACCAACACUCCUGUUCACCAGCAACGACAGUAUUCACUAGAAAAUCAGUAUUCAGUAGUUCAUCAAUAGCCAGCACCAUCCAUUCCUCUAAUUCCUCUCGGAUUUGAAGAUGUGUAUAGAGGUAGACCAGGAUGUAGAAGAAGCACACCACCGCUACAGCAGUUAAAGCAACUCGAUACUUCAUCAUCUAGCACCAAUUCAUCAUCUAGUCCAAAGACUCCAGUCUCCAAGAGAC